GGACUACACGGGUAUCUAAUCCUGUUUGCUCCCCACGCUUUCGCGCCUCAGCGUCAGUUAUGGUCCAGAUGGCCGCCUUCGCCACCGGUGUUCUUCCCAAUAUCUACGAAUUUCACCUCUACACUGGGAAUUCCACCAUCCUCUCCCACACUCUAGCCCGCCAGUCUCAAGUGCACCUCCGGGGUUAAGCCCCGGGCUUUCACACCUGACUAUUCGAGCCGCCUACGCGCCCUUUACGCCCAGUAAUUCCGAACAACGCUAGCCCCCUUCGUAUUACCGCGGCGGCUGGCAC
RNAcentral lists this ribosomal RNA (292 nucleotides) under uncultured Alphaproteobacteria bacterium. RNAcentral's name for it is "partial 16S ribosomal RNA". Lineage: Bacteria; Pseudomonadati; Pseudomonadota; Alphaproteobacteria. The record is from RNAcentral.